GACAGAGGGUGCAAACGUUGUUCGGAAUUACUGGGCGUAAAGCGCGUGUAGGCUGCUCCGCAAGUCGGGUGUGAAAGCCCUGGGCUCAACCUAGGAAGUGCACUCGAAACUGCGGAGCUGGAGUCCUGGAGAGGAAGGCGGAAUUCUCGGUGUAGAGGUGAAAUUCGUAGAUAUCGAGAGGAACACCGGUGGCGAAGGCGGCCUUCUGGACAGUGACUGACGCUGAGACGCGAAAGCGUGGGGAGCAAACAGG
RNAcentral lists this ribosomal RNA (253 nucleotides) under uncultured bacterium. Its description in RNAcentral is "partial 16S ribosomal RNA". It matches the Rfam family "Bacterial small subunit ribosomal RNA", at positions 524 to 776 of the family's 1533-position model. The record is from RNAcentral.